AGUGAACGCUGGCGGUAGGCCUAACACAUGCAAGUCGAACGGCAGCACAGUAAGAGCUUGCUCUUACGGGUGGCGAGUGGCGGACGGGUGAGGAAUACAUCGGAAUCUACUUUUUCGUGGGGGAUAACGUAGGGAAACUUACGCUAAUACCGCAUACGACCUACGGGUGAAAGCAGGGGAGCUUCGGACCUUUCGCGAUUGAAUGAGCCGAUGUCGGAUUAGCUAGUUGGCGGGGUAAAGGCACACCAAGGCGACGAUCCGUAGCUGGUCUGAGAGGAUGAUCAGCCACACUGGAACUGAGACACGGUCCAGACUCCUACGGGAGGCAGCAGUGGGGAAUAUUGGACAAUGGGCGCAAGCCUGAUCCAGCAAUACCGCGUGGGUGAAGAAGGCCUUCGGGUUGUAAAGCCCUUUUGUUGGGAAAGAAAAGCAGCAGGUUAAUACCCCGCUGUUCUGACGGUACCCAAAGAAUAAGCACCGGCUAACUUCGUG
This 492-nucleotide ribosomal RNA is filed under the name uncultured bacterium. RNAcentral's name for it is "partial 16S ribosomal RNA". It matches the Rfam family "Bacterial small subunit ribosomal RNA", at positions 29 to 507 of the family's 1533-position model. The record is from RNAcentral.